UAUGCUCCUCAAAUAAUAUAUUUUUUUCCUUGUCUUAAUGCAGCUCUUUGAUUAAUCAUCUAGUAGUAUAACCAUUGAAAGAAAGUAAUAGGUUUUCUUCAUUUUAUAAAAUCUCUUUUAAAACCUAUCAAUUACCAUUGGUUUGGAAGUGUUUCAAUGUUUUGUUUGAUUUUUCAGAAACCAAGCCAUCUCCUGCCUUGUAGUUUUGUAGCUAUUGGCAUUUUAGUAGCAUUUUUUCUGCUGAUUCAAGCCUGUCCCUGGACAUAUUAUGUAUAUGGUUUGUUGCCAGUGCCAAUAUGGUAUGCGGUUCUAAGAGACGUUUCGCUCUUGUUGCCCAGGCUGGAGUGCAAUGGCACGAUCUCAGCUGGCUGCAUCCUCCACCUCCCAGGUUCAAGCGAUUCUCCUGUCUCAGCCUCCUGAGUAGCUGGGAUUACAGAUUUCAAGUUAUUCAGGACCUUGUCGCAUCAGUGUUGACCUAUCCUCUGAGCCAUUUUGUUGGGUACCUGUUAGCCUUUACCCUGGGAAUUGAAGUAUUAGUUCUCAGUUUUUUCUACCGCUAUAUGCUUACCGCUGGACUUACUGCCUUUGCAGCUUGGCCAUUUCUCACUCGGCUGUGGACUCGAGCAAAGGUCACUUCACUGAGUUGGACUUUCUUCUCUUUGCUCCUGGCAGUGUUCCCACUGAUGCCGGUUGUAGGUCGAAAGCCAGACAUCUCUCUAGUGAUGGGUGCAGGCUUGCUGGUUCUUCUGCUAUCCCUGUGUGUUGUAACAUCUCUCAUGAAAAGAAAAGAUGGCUUUAUAAAGGAAGAGCUAUUGGUACAUCUAUUACAGGUGCUGAGCACAGUGCUCUCCAUGUAUGUUGUGUAUAGCACCCAGAGUAGUCUACUCAGGAAGCAAGGACUGCCUCUUAUGAAUCAAAUUAUUAGCUGGGCAACAUUAGCCUCGUCCUUGGUUGUGCCACUACUGAGUUCUCCAGUUCUCUUUCAGCGAUUGUUCAGCAUACUUCUUUCAUUGAUGUCAACCUACCUACUUCUAAGCACAGGGUAUGAAGCUCUCUUUCCGCUAGUGUUGUCUUGUUUGAUGUUUGUCUGGAUAAACAUAGAACAAGAAACUCUACAACAAUCUGGUGUUUGCUGUAAACAAAAGCUCACCAGUAUCCAGUUCUCUUAUAAUAUUGAUAUAACUCAGUUUCGACAGCUAUAUCUGGAUGACAUCCGUAGGGCCUUUUUCCUUGUUUUCUUCUUAGUGACAGCAUUUUUUGGAACUGGAAAUAUAGCUUCUAUUAACAGCUUUGAUCUUGCCUCUGUUUAUUGCUUUCUGACUGUGUUCAGUCCUUUUGUGAUGGGAGCCCUGAUGAUGUGGAAGCAGUUCAGUUGACUACUCAGUUAUCGUCAAAAAGCCUUUUUCUCAUUGUUCUCGUCAUAUCAGACAUUAUGGCUUUGCAUUUUUUCUUCUUGGUCAAGGAUUAUGGCAGCUGGCUUGAUAUUGGGACAAGGACACUCACCAUGAAUGGAGCUUGCAGGACUGGAAGUUGUUCUGGCAUCAGCCACUAUGUGAUUGUCAUGUCCAUGACCAUCUUUUUGGUGUUCCUCAAUGGCCUGGCCCAGCUGCUCACAACGAAGAAACUCAGACUAUGUGGCAAACCCAAAAGUCACUUCAUGUGAGGUUGCUGAAGCACCAUUCAGCAUCUGGAUCCUGAUUCUGCUUUUAAACUAAAAUCUCAUCAAGGAUUCCAUAAGAAGAUGAAUAUGGAUAUAUAGUAUAUUCUACUCCUGUAAGGAAAAUGGUAUUUGGAAUUCCGAAUUGACAGGUUAUCUGGAACAAAGGAGCUUCUUUUCUUUUUUUUUCUAGGUUUUGCAGGCAUGAAAUAGUGAUUAUAUCUGUGGAAAAACAUAGGAAGGCAUUCUUCUUUUUCAUUUUUUUCCUUUGGCUGGCAGCUCUUUCCAGUGAUGUUGAGAGCACCUGCAGCAAUCUGGUCCCCAACCGCACAACUUCCCACAUACCCAGAGGAGAGCAUAUGCCUGUGGGGGCAGUGCUGAUGGCAUCCAGAGUCAUUGCUGUGGCUGAGCUGGAAGGAAAUCACCAGGUGCCACCGUCAAUAUUUAUCAGCUUUCAGCACUGGUUUUGUUAGACAGUCAGGGUGUAUUAUUUCAAAAGCUUCAAUAGAAAAAGUGUUUGCAGGC
RNAcentral lists this small RNA (2182 nucleotides) under Pongo abelii (Sumatran orangutan). RNAcentral's name for it is "retained intron". The record is from RNAcentral. Lineage: Eukaryota; Metazoa; Chordata; Mammalia; Primates; Hominidae.